UAUACCCUAUUUCCUUUUAACCGCAGAUAUGGAAAGAUGAUUGCUAUGGACGGCUUUCUACUAUCUAAUCGAGCUGCUCAUCUUCCUCGCACAGCUACAUAGCUUAGUAUCAGUGGAAACGGUCACAUAGUUUCACAGCUUAGCUGUUACAUCUUCGUAGCAUAGUUACAUAGCACAUCUCUGGUGGAAAAACACUCUAAGAGUCCCGAUGUGACUUGAAACUACUACAGCUUUCCUUUAAAUGAGUAAGCCGCAUGUUUGUUUUAAUUUAGUGUGUCUCACGGUAGUUGCUAAUGAUCUCUAAUAAUAAUAUAUUUACGGGCUAGUAGUCACAAAUACGACUUAUCUCUAGAACAUUAGUUCGAUUGGAAGACGCUCUUUAUU
This is a long non-coding RNA of Spodoptera frugiperda (fall armyworm), 384 nucleotides long. RefSeq lists it as uncharacterized. The record is from RefSeq and is a predicted model, not a curated record. Lineage: Eukaryota; Metazoa; Arthropoda; Insecta; Lepidoptera; Noctuidae. The transcript has 2 exons.